CUGGGGCAAGCUCAGAUGCUCUGGGUGGGAAAGCCCACGUGAGGUGUUUUGGGGACCUUUAAGGAAUAGUGCAGUGGAGCAUGUUUAGCAAAUGCAGAAAUAGAGAGACACCAGAGGCCCAGCUGGCAUGUAGAUGGGGUGCAUGUGGACUGCAGGGCUCUAAGGUGUUGGCCAGGUAUUUGCUUUUAAGCAGAAAGUAAGAGGCACGUUCCUGGCACUGAGGACACUUCCAAAUUCCAGGCUCUAGCUCCAUGAAGAAGCUCAGCUCUGCCAAACACAGAGAGAGCAGUGUAAGCCAGGAGAGGCCGAAGAAGAUGGAUGCUUUUCCUCUUCAUCUCAAACUUGAAAACUCUGGAGAUGUUUUUUACUCAAACCCGGAAGGUUUACCCAGCGUGGACAAUUUCAGUAAAAAUCAUUUACUUCAGCCUUUUUAUUUUAAUUGAAGCCAUUCUUCUUUUCUCCCAGCUUUCUUUUCCCAUUCUUUUCCUCCUGGUAUUUGACUGUCCAUCUGUAAUUCUGCUUCAGUGUUUGCUAGUUUUCUGUGUCUUGCUCUGCCAGUACAACUGUCAUCGCACGCAUUGUGCUAUGUCCUUUAUGAAACGAUGUGCAGAUAGCAAACAGUCCGUACGUACAAUACAAAGGCUGCUCUUACCUCUGUGUUGGCAUCAUCUCCCCAUCCGCAAUUAUCCUUCCAUUUCUUCUCUUUGUCCUUUUCUGUUCUGUGGGCUUUGAUUUUCCCAUGUUUUCUGCAGCCUGGCCCCUUGCCAGCUUUGCUUUCCCCUUUUUCAAGCUGAG
Molecule: long non-coding RNA, 795 nt
Organism: Gallus gallus (chicken)
Lineage: Eukaryota; Metazoa; Chordata; Aves; Galliformes; Phasianidae
Source: Ensembl